UACGUAGGGUGCAAGCGUUAUCCGGAAUUAUUGGGCGUAAAGAGCUCGUAGGUGGUUCGGUAAGUCGGAUGUGAAAUCUCCAGGCUCAACCUGGAGGGGUCAUUCGAUACUGCCGUGACUAGAGUUCGGUAGGGGAGUGUGGAAUUCCUGGUGGAGCGGUGAAAUGCGCAGAUAUCAGGAGGAACACCCGUAGCGAAGGCGGCACUCUGGGCCGAUACUGACACUGAGGAGCGAAAGCGUGGGGAGCGAACAGG
RNAcentral lists this ribosomal RNA (254 nucleotides) under uncultured bacterium. Its description in RNAcentral is "partial 16S ribosomal RNA". It matches the Rfam family "Bacterial small subunit ribosomal RNA", at positions 524 to 776 of the family's 1533-position model. The record is from RNAcentral.